This 18-nucleotide small nuclear RNA is filed under the name Arabidopsis thaliana (thale cress). RNAcentral describes it as "snRNA_10268". Lineage: Eukaryota; Viridiplantae; Streptophyta; Magnoliopsida; Brassicales; Brassicaceae. The record is from RNAcentral.
UCUGAUUUUCAGUACGAA